Molecule: ribosomal RNA, 564 nt
Filed under: uncultured crenarchaeote
Lineage: Archaea; Thermoproteati; Thermoproteota
Description: bacterial SSU rRNA
Rfam family: Archaeal small subunit ribosomal RNA
Source: RNAcentral
GGAGUCACGCCAGAAAUCUUACCCGGAGAGACAGCAGAAUGAAGGUCAAGCUGAAGACUUUACCAGACAAGCUGAGAGGUGGUGCAUGGCCGUCGCCAGCUCGUGCCGUGAGAUGUCCUGUUAAGUCAGGUAACGAGCGAGAUCCCUGCCUCUAGUUGCCACCAUUACUCUCAGGAGUAGUGGGGCGAAUUAGCGGGACCGCCGCAGUUAAUGCGGAGGAAGGAAGGGGCCACGGCAGGUCAGUAUGCCCCGAAACUCUGGGGCCACACGCGGGCUGCAAUGGUAGCGACAAUUGGUUUCGAAUCCGAAAGGAUGAGGUAAUCCACAAACGCUACCACAGUUAUGACUGAGGGCUGCAACUCGCCCUCACGAAUAUGGAAUCCCCAGUAACUGCGUGUCAUUAUCGCGCGGUGAAUACGUCCCUGCUCCUUGCACACACCGCCCGUCGUUUCAUUGAAGUGAGCUUUUAGCGAGGUGACGUCUGAUUGGCGUUAUCGAACUUGAGGUUCGUGACAAGGGAAAAGUCGUAACAAGGUGACCGUAGGGGAACCUGCGGUCGGAUCA